GAUGAACGCUGGCGGCGUGCUUAAUACAUGCAAGUCGAACGAUGAAGCCCAGCUUGCUGGGUGGAUUAGUGGCGAACGGGUGAGUAACACGUGAGUAACCUGCCCUUGACUCUGGGAUAAGCCUGGUCAACUGGGUCUAAUACUGGAUAUGACUUCUCAUCGCAUGGUGGGGGGUGGAAAGAUUUAUUGGUCUUGGAUGGACUCGCGGCCUAUCAGCUUGUUGGUGAGGUAAUGGCUCACCAAGGCGACGACGGGUAGCCGGCCUGAGAGGGUGACCGGCCACACUGGGACUGAGACACGGCCCAGACUCCUACGGGAGGCAGCAGUGGGGAAUAUUGCACAAUGGGCGCAAGCCUGAUGCAGCGACGCCGCGUGAGGGAUGACGGCCUUCGGGUUGUAAACCUCUUUCAGUAGGGAAGAAGCGAGAGUGACGGUACCUGCAGAAGAAGCGCCGGCUAACUACGUG
RNAcentral lists this ribosomal RNA (466 nucleotides) under uncultured bacterium. Its description in RNAcentral is "partial 16S ribosomal RNA". It matches the Rfam family "Bacterial small subunit ribosomal RNA", at positions 28 to 507 of the family's 1533-position model. The record is from RNAcentral.